This 1017-nucleotide ribosomal RNA is filed under the name Pseudoniphargus sp. 2-Portugal. RNAcentral describes it as "16S ribosomal RNA". The stretch from base 801 to 959 matches the Rfam family "Archaeal large subunit ribosomal RNA", at positions 2544 to 2703 of the family's 2987-position model. The record is from RNAcentral. Lineage: Eukaryota; Metazoa; Arthropoda; Malacostraca; Amphipoda; Allocrangonyctidae.
ACUAUUUUUAAUUAUUUUUUAAAAAAGAAUAUAUAAUUAGUACCUUUUGUAUCAGGGUUAUUUAAUUUAGAAUUUAAUUUAUGUUUCUCGAUAUUAAGUGAGUUAAAUAAAUGUUUAAAUGUUGAAUAAUUAUAUCAAUUUAUUUAGUAGUGAAAAUUUUUCGUAGUUAAAGGUAUCUUGUUAUAUUAAUUUCAUAAUAGAAGGGAUAAGCUUUUUAUUAAAAUAUAUUAUGUAUUAUUUUAUAAUAAAUUAGGAUUAAAAUUAGCCAUAUUAUUAAUUUGUUUUAAAUCUUUUAUGGAUAUAAGAUUAAUAUAUUAUUUAAAUAAAUAAUUAAUAAGAAUAAAGUAUAGUAAUUUAUAAUGAAUAAAUUAGUAUUUUUUUUUUUCUAUAAAAUAUAACUCGCAGUUUGUAGAAUAGUUUAUCAAAAACAUUUUUUUAUUAAUAUAAAAUAAGGCCUGCCCAGUGUGAUAUAAACGGCUGCGGUAUUUUGACUGUGCUAAGGUAGCAUAAUAAUUUGUUUUUUAAUUGAAAUCUGGAAUGAAUGGUUUUAUCUAUGAUUAUGAUUAAUUAUAGAAUAAAUAAUUUAUGUUUUUAGUAAAAACACUAUAAUUGAAUAAAGGGACGAUAAGACCCUAUAAGCUUUAUUUAUGUAUUUAAUAGAAUUAAUAAUUUAAUGUUUUUUGUUUUAUAUUGAAUUUUGCUGGGGCAGUAAUAUUAUUUGAUUUAAUAUAAUUUAACAUAUAAUAUAUAUAUGAAUAUAUGAUCUUCUUAUUGAGAUAAAUAGUAAAAGUUACUGUAGGGAUAACAGCGUAAUAAUUUUGGAGAGGCCUUAUUGAUAAAAUUGAUUGCGACCUCGAUGUUGAAUUAAAAUUUCUUUUUGUUGUAGCAGGCAUAGAAGAUGGUUUGUUCAACCUUUAAAAUUUUACAUGAUUUGAGUUCAAAUCGGUUUAAGCCAGAUUGGUUUCUAUCUUUUAUAUAAUUUAAUUUAUGUAAGUACGAAAGGGACACAUAAAUUUU